Molecule: transfer RNA, 69 nt
Filed under: Cottus pollux (Japanese fluvial sculpin)
Lineage: Eukaryota; Metazoa; Chordata; Actinopteri; Perciformes; Cottidae
Description: tRNA-Met
Rfam family: tRNA
About the family: Transfer RNA (tRNA) molecules are approximately 80 nucleotides in length. Their secondary structure includes four short double-helical elements and three loops (D, anti-codon, and T loops).
Source: RNAcentral
AGUAAGGUCAGCUAAUUAAGCUCUUGGGCCCAUACCCCAAAUAUGUUGGUUAAAAUCCUUCUUUUACUA